This is a long non-coding RNA of Gorilla gorilla gorilla (western lowland gorilla), 1278 nucleotides long. RefSeq lists it as uncharacterized. The record is from RefSeq and is a predicted model, not a curated record. Lineage: Eukaryota; Metazoa; Chordata; Mammalia; Primates; Hominidae. The transcript is spliced from 4 exons.
UUUUAUUUUUCAUCUGAUUACCAUCAUUUUCUCUCUCUCUCCGGGUCUAAGAGUGGGAUGGAUGUAGGAAGGGGAAGGAGUUGUCCUAAUAUGGGUUACUGAAAUGUUAUUGGCCCAUGUUAAAUACAGAAAUGAAGGGUUUAGAAAUGUUUAAGGUGAUUUUACUUUGCCACAGUGUCCAAGCACCUGAUCAAUGGACCUGUCUUGAUGAAGAGGGCAGUGGUGAGCAUUUGGGGUGCUGUUGAAUUUGUGUGGUGGCUCACACACACUAGGACCACAUAUCCUCCCUCAAAAUUUUGGAAAUUUUAAAAAACUCAUCCUUAACUGCAGAGAGUUUAUAAAAUAUGUUGUCAAAGAUAACAUAGCCCUAGUCACAUGGUAAGGAAAAGCCAACAUUCAAGAAAUGCUUGGAAACUGAGAAAUGUUAAAGGCAGGAGUACAAAGGAGGUGAAGAGAAUGGUCACUGUAGGUUGAGGUGAAACAGGAAGUCGAUCCUUGGAGAUGAAUCCUCAGAGGGUCUUGAAAAAAAAAGUUGGCAAAUAUUAAGGGGUAGAAGGAUGUUUCAAGAGAGAGGAAGCCAUGAGCGAAGGCAUGGAGGCCUAUGCAGAAGAUGUGAAGGCCAUGCACAUUAUUUGCUGAUUGAAAUAGAAAGGUCAAGAAUCUGGGUUCUACCAUUUGGCAACCGUCCUAAUGAUAAUUGAUUCAGGAUAAAGACAGAGGAACAAAUACCAGACCAGCAAACUUACCUGAAUCCAGCUGCCCUCAGAGUAUGGCUGAGGCUUGGUCAAAGCCCAGAACUUAGCAAGGGUUAGAGGACAUCAUGGGACCAUAUUCCCAGUCACUCCAGGUUUGAGAAACAAUUCCACAACCGCUCUUCUCCCAUCAAGCUAAUACAUUUUGAGGAAAAACUCAAGAUUUCAAGAAAUAGGCUCUCGGACACAAUUCUGUGGGGGAGGCUGUUGGCUUACCAGUUGCAAGGGGUGAAUCUCAAGAGAUUCAGAAGCUCAAUCCGAAUAAACAACCAAAACUUUGGAGGCUUAUCAAAACUCUGGCAAAACUAGGCCAGAAGUGGACUCUAUUUUCUAGUGAGGUUUCCAGUAUUUCCUGUUUCCAGUGGAACUGGACUAGCUCAGGAAGAUUCUACUAAUGACUAGAACCAACUGGACAUAACUGGAGAACACGGAAAGAUUGAAACAAAAAAACAAGAACAAAAACAUGAGAAAAGAUAGUGUGUGCUGUUUCCAGCUGCAAGAGAGAUGAAGAUCAUUCAAACAUGGU